GGAUACAAGUCCAGAAACUAGGAGUUGCUUUGGUACAAGUUGUGUCGACCUUGGAUAGAUUUCACCAUCAAAUUCUAGAAAAUUCUCACUGAUGUCAUGGAAUUUGAUUCCACUAAAGACGAUUUUGAGUCAUGCGUUGUAGAUCUGGUUGAGUUGGAUCUAGUACCAUGCAUAUAACUCGAUACUAAGGUUGAGUCGGAUCUAAUACCACGUGUAUAACUCGAUACUAAGGUUGAGUUGGAUCUAAUACCACGCGUAUAACUCGAUACUAAGGUUGAGUUGGAUCUAAUACCACGCGUAUAACUUGAUACUAAGGUGAUCCAUUGAAGGAUGAGCUGUCAGGUGAUGUUGAAACCUCUAUCGAGUCAAUCAUCCAAUAUCAGCAUACAGAUUUCAGAGUAGAAAUAGCUAUAAGAAGUUGAAGAAAUUGAAGGUUUUGGGCUAGAGAGUCCAAAAGUUAUUAUUUAUUUUCUAAGUGACAUGUUUUGUCAUUUUCGGGCCUAAGGCCUUCUCUUCUUGUCUUCCAUAUUUAUUUUGUAUUAUUGUAUGAUUAGACUAGGACAGAACAAAAUAAAGCGGGCCAAAAGCCCAAAAUGAAGCGGGUCCAAGUACCGGUCCAGGCGGACAUAAACUUGAUUUGGACCCAA
Solanum pennellii is the source of this 647-nucleotide long non-coding RNA. RefSeq lists it as uncharacterized. Lineage: Eukaryota; Viridiplantae; Streptophyta; Magnoliopsida; Solanales; Solanaceae. The transcript has 7 exons. The record is from RefSeq and is a predicted model, not a curated record.